UUUUACAACAUAAAGUAGAAAGAGAAAAAAAUCCAAUUUAAUAUAAAAGAAAUAAUACAGAUGAACUCAGGGGAUGUGGGAUAUAGAGCAGUAUUUAUUUUCUUGGAAAAGACCGGAAUUAUUAGAAGAAUAUAGACUAGAUAUUUUUCUGUUAUUUUCUUUUUGUUAUUUUGUCUGUUUGUUUCUGGGUGGGGUUUAUUUAAUUAUUUAUUUGUAUUUUUAUUUUAUUUUUAUUUUUUGCUUUCUCAUAUAGUAGAAAAGACCAUUCUGACCCACACUCCAUUUCAGAAGGUGGCGGUAAUGCACAUCUAAAAGUUGUUUGCCAACCGCCAUAAAAAAAGAAAAAGAAGAAGAAGAAGCUUAGCAACAAUGGCGAAUUUUCAACCGUACCAGUUUAAUCCCGAGUCUGACACCGACAGAGAGGAAGAACACGCCGGUAGUCCUGACGCUUUUCAACCGAGACUGGAGCAGGACGGUUCAGAGUGGUUCUCAGAGGAAUGAUUCAGGUCCCCAUUCCUCUCAGCUGCAGGCGUUGAGGGGAAUUGCCUCAACUUGUACACCCUGCAGAACAUCUACAGAAUGGACUACGGAUCUCUGAGGUGUAAAACAUAAGAACAUUGGUGCUGUGGGACGCCACAACAGGGUCCUCAUCGCGCCAUGCUCCGGAUCCGCCAGGAGUUUCCUGAUCCAGCUGACCAGUAUGUUGGCUUCCGACUGCCCCUUGACUGAAGCCUGACUUGUGGCGAGCAACCACUUCCU
Scophthalmus maximus (turbot) is the source of this 759-nucleotide long non-coding RNA. RefSeq lists it as uncharacterized. The transcript is spliced from 3 exons. Lineage: Eukaryota; Metazoa; Chordata; Actinopteri; Pleuronectiformes; Scophthalmidae. The record is from RefSeq and is a predicted model, not a curated record.